Molecule: long non-coding RNA, 5756 nt
Organism: Homo sapiens (human)
Lineage: Eukaryota; Metazoa; Chordata; Mammalia; Primates; Hominidae
Exons: 3
Source: RefSeq, a predicted model, not a curated record
ACAGAAAACAAAACAAAACAAAAAAAAAACCAACCUCCACUCCAAACGUUUAACUAAAGAGAGAGGUAUGAGCCAGGGUCAAGACAUCUAGAAAGGGUGAGGAGAGGCUCUACCAGCAGGAAGCUCUUCCCACCCCAGUGUCUGAAGGGCAGCUGACAAGAGAAUCUCACUGGAUUUAUGGAGGAGAGACUACCUAAGGGGAGCAGUAAAAAUGAGAGUGCAGCUCUGCCCAGAUGGCCAUGUGAAGUUGGAGUGGGCCAGGAUUCCCCCAGUUGGACUCUCACAUACCUGUGGACCUCAAGUGCUCCUUCAUAUGUGUUUUCAAUGAACUUCAUCCAAACCACAUCAAAUGGCUGUGUAUAACACUAAGGAAAUGUCAUAUUGUCUCCUAGUCCUCUACCAUGUCUUUUACACACACUGAAGAUCAUGUGAAGAAAGAGAGAAGAUGGUCAUCUAUACACCAAGUUAAACGACCCUCAGAAGAAACCAACCCUAUGGACAACUUGAUCUUGAACUUCUAGCUUUCAGACCUGUGAGAAAAUAAAUUGCUGUUGUUUAAAUUUAAAAAAACAGUCUUUUAAAUCAUGUAUGAAACAAAGUGUUGUUACAAACCAUUGUUAUAAUAGUACUAGCUUUUGUAAUUGCCUAUUUGUCCAUCUUUACUGAGAUCUUUAUUUCUUCAUAUGGCUUUGAGUUACUGAGUAGUGUCCUUUUAUUUCAACCUGAAGAACUCCCUUGAGUGUUUCUCUUAGGGUAUGUCUAGAAGUAACAGAUUACCUUAGCUUUCGUUAAUCUGGGAAUGUUGUAAUUCUCCUUCACUUUUGAAGGACAAUUUUUACCAAAUAUAGAAUUUGGGGUUGAUAUUUUUAUUUAUUUUAGCACUUUGAAUAUAUCAGCCCACUGCCUUUUGGUCUCCAGUAUUUAUGAUGAGACUCUCUUUUUUUAAUCUCAUAAUUUACUAUUUAUUAUUUUUAAAUGUUUCUAGAGAUAUACAGUAAUUAAACAUAUUUGUGGGAUACACAUGAUAUUUUGAUACAAGAAUAUACAAUGUGUAAGCUGUAUAUUCAAUAUACAAUCAGUGAUCAAAUCAGGAUAUUUAUUAGGAUAUACAUCAACUUGAACAUUUAUCAUUUCUUUGUGUUGGGAGUAUUUUAAAUCUUCUUUACUAGCUUUCAUGAAAUAUAAAAUAUUGUUAACUAGUCAUUCCACUGUGUUAUCAAACACUAGAACUUAUUCCCCCAUCUGCACUAUAUCUUUGAACCUAUAAUCUUAUUGAUGAUCUUUUUAUGUGAUGAAUCACUUUUCUAUUGCAACUUUCAAGACUCUGUGUUUGGCUUUUGACAGUUUGAUUAUAUUGUGUCUCAGUGUGGAUCUUUUUGAGUUCAUCCUACUUGGAGUUACUGAGUUUCUUGAAUAUUUUUACUUAUGUCUUUUAUCAAAUUUGUAAAGACUUUGGCCAUCAAUUCUCUUAAUAAUCUAUCUUUCCUGUUUUCUCUUCUGUUUCUUAGCCUACCACCACACGUGUUGUUCUGCUCAACAGUGUUCCAGAAGUCCCUUAAGCUCUGUUCACUUUUCUUCAAUCAUUUUACUUUCUGUUCCUCAGAUUCAAUGAUUUCCUUUGUCCUAUUUCAAAUUUGUUGAUUCUUCUUCGUUCUCAAAUCAGCCUUUGAAUCUCUCUAGUGAAUUUUUUAUUUCAGUUAUAACACUUUUUAGCAUCAAAUUUAUUGUUUCUUCAUAGGUUUUCUAUAUGUUUGCAAAUAUUUCUAUUUUGUCCUUAUGUCAUUUUCUUGGCUUUUUCUGCAUCUUUUGUUAGCUCUUUCAGUAUCUUUAAGAUAAUUGUUUUUGUUUAGUAGAUCUGACAUCAGGUCUUUUUCAGGAGCUGCUUCUUUUUUUCCCAUUAAAAUGGGCCACACAUUCCUUUUCUUUUGUAUGUCUCUUGAUUUUUUUUGUUAAAAAUGGACAUUUGAAGCUAAUGAUUUGAUAACACUGGAAAUUAGGUUCUCUCCCUUCCCUGGGGUUUACUGGGCUUUUGUUUUUGGUUUUGUUUUUUUGUUGUUGUUGUUGCUUACUGUUUUUGUUUUUUUAAUUGUUGUAGGCUGUCUCAGUGCUGAGGGUUAGCCUGAGCUUAAGGUUAGGCUAACCUGACCUUAAGGUAAACUUAAGGUCUUCUCAGGUCUUUCUGAGCCUGUGCCUUUCCCUGGGCAUACAUAGUCACCUUCCAAUAUCCCCCAUAUAUGCAGUCACUUCGGAAUGUCCCAGUCUCUAAUGGAUGGCUCCCAAAAGGGGAAAAGAUAAAAAUUAAGGAGAAGAAAAAGAAUGCUGGGUUUUUAAGUACCCUGGAAGUCACCUCAGCGAGAGAGGGGCUAGCAAUAAUGAGGGUGGGGCAAUAGCAAUGGCCACCUGCCUCUUUGUCUGUACUUCUGUGAUGAGAAGCAGCAAUUAAUAAUCACAGCACAAAUACUUGGAGGACUGGGUCCUUAUUGCCCACCCUGGCUCCCACAAGCUGUAUGCAGUCUUCUUCAGGUCAUGGGCACAGCUGCCUGCCACAGGGCUGGGGCGGUCAAUAGGUAGUUACUACUGUGCUGAGUCUAAGUUGACCAAAACUAACUGAAAUUUACUUCUAAGACAUUCCCUGGAAGUUGCAAGCCUUCAAUAGACUCCAGAAUUCCAAAAUAGUUACAUCAGGCAGAUUCUGCCAGUGCAGUUGUUGUCUGGAUGGGUAAACAGAUUCCUGGAGCUUCCUAUUUCAGCAUCUUGCCAGAAUCUUCUCCCUAUGUGUAUUUAUUUUAUCACAUCUUGAGAUAGUUUUUGUUUCAGAACUUUGCUAUCCACUAUGCUGAGUAGAACUUCAAGAGCUGUCCCUGUGUCUAAUAGACUAGAAGUGGUAGAUUUCAGCCUGGGAGUACACACUGCGGUCACAACCAUCCAUAUGGCAGGAAGUAGUCUACUGAGUUUUUGGCGGCCAUGAUUCUUUGGCAUUUCUGGUUUGGUGGUCGUUGAUUCCUAAAUAUUAAAGUGGUUCCCAGCAUGUAUCAGUUGUUUGUUUGCUAAAUGACCUUAAAUGUUCUGAUACUUGCAGAAAUGAAAAAAGCUAGUUUCUCUGUCAAUAAGACUCUGAUCUGAAUGUGAAUAAAUAUGCAUGAGCAGUAACUUAAUGCACAUCUGGAAAAUAUGCUUUGUUAGAAAUCUAUCACUAUUUUUUUUAAUUUGGAGAGUUUUUCUCAAGAACAAUAGAAUGUAAUAAAAUUUAAGGAAGUGCAUUUUACAAAAAGUAUCAAAGACUUUAUUAAACAUCAACUCUUUACUUGAAGAAAUAAUGUUGUUUAAAAAAAUCAAUCUUGUGAAUUGUCUCCUGGGAAGUUUGUCAGUGAUUUCUUUCUUUCUUGUUCUUUUUUGUCCUUAUAUAAAGUAACCAAGCUUUAUUCCUAUAAGCUGUAAAUUUUAACAGAAAGCAGAUUCACAUGUAUUUAUUAACAUUCCUAAAUUCUCAACACCACUUAUUAAUCCCUUAAAAACGAUUGCUUCUUUAUAUGAAGAUAAUGGUAGUCAUAAAGACAUACAUUAUAGUUUCAUUAUGAUGUUUGUGCUUUGUCUCAAGUUUCUUCUGAAAUGCCUCCACUGAGUUAGGUGAUAAUGACAGCACUCAGACACACAGCCCAGAGGAAGGGGACAAAGGAAUCCCAGGAAAGAAGUAGGAAAAGGUAUUUGGUUAGAAUUUAAAGUCAAGUGGAGGAAUCAGUGAACCAGAAAACAGACAGGGGAGGCUGCUUGUUCAUCUGGAGCUUACAGCAGCAGCAGGAGUUGGAAUUCACAAAGCAAAUGGCUGAGAUGGGGGUGCCGGAGCACAGGAGUGACAGACCAGGGUAGGAUGCAGCAGCCUCUACUCUGGGAAGAGGGUCCCAGCCACUACUGGGCACCAUCUCCUUUUGAGGGGUGGACCCACGCAGCAUUUAAGGAGGAAGCCCAGUAGAUCUGGUUAAUUAACGUGGUAAUGGGACUCCCUAGAAUUUAAGUCCAAAGCAUGGUGUGAUUUUCUUUGUUGAGCUACCACAUAUUGAAGUUCAGGAAAGAAACCACCCAGUUGAUAUAGCAAUAGUAUACAAAACCUGCUGGAUUAUGAGAAAUUUCCAACAUUCUUUAUUAUGUAAGCAAACACUUUUAAUGCUUAACUGUGAUAGGUUUGGAACUUUUUUUUCCAAGUUGUUACACAGAAGGAAAGCAAGAAAGAAAGCAUGAAGGCCAAUUAGAAGGAUCAUUCAAUAUUUCUCAGAAAAGAGAAUGAUGGCUUAGACCAGUGGUGAUGUUCAAAAUCUUACAAAGGUAGAAGACUAGCAACAUUUGUGACUGAAUUGGAUAAGGAAGUGUGUGAGAGAGAGGAGCCAAAGGUGACUUGAUUCUUCCUUUUCUGGGCAAAUGGAGGAAGGGAGAUUGUAUUUAUGAAGAUGGAGGUCUGUGGGAGGUUUUGUGGGGAAAGAUUGGGGGAGUUCAAUUUUGGACAUGUUAACUUUGAGAUCUCUGUUAGAUGUAGAGAUCUACAAGUCUUUACAAGUAGAGAUGUCAAGAAAGCAUUUGGAUAUAAAACCCUAGAAUCCAAAAGGUAAAGAAUUGGUUUGGUAGUUGUUGGUAUGUAGAUAGAAUUUCAAGCUAUGAGACUGGAUUUGAGCAUCUGAAAAAAUACUCAAUAUCUGAAAUGUCUGUUAAGUAGAUCCAGAAAAAAUGAAAGGACGUAUUAACUAAAACAUCAGUAUUCAAGGAACAAUAAAGAUAGAAUUUAUAACUGGGCUUCUGAGAGAGGUGGACAGAUUUACAGAAGACUGAAGCUGGGAAACACCUAACCCCAGCUAAGACACACCAUGAUUGUCUAAUUUAUGCCUGUACCCCGAAUAGGUGUCAGAGUGCCUGAAACAUCAUAGAUGGCCAUUCAAUAUCUGACAAAUGAUAAAUGAAUGGAUGAAUAAAUGAAGGAAAGAAAGCUUGGUGGAAGGGCAGUCAGGCUUCCUGGAGAUGGGGCUGGGCUGCGGGGGGUACUAUGUAGCAAUUGGGUGUCCCUGGGUCUUCCCACACUGGCUGUUUUCUUGGUUAUGUAUGACUAUUCCUUAGGCUAUGACUCUUUGACUUUCUUGCCUGUGGUAUGAAAAUUACGCUUACUAUCUACCUUUUCUUUUACAAUAGGGAUUCACGGAUGAGUGCUUAGGAAUCACUAGGCUGAGAAAGGGAAGGGUGAAUAAACCAGAAACCCCCUAGAGAAGCUCAGGGAAAGUCAUUAUUGUAGGGUUUACUACAGUCACAUUCUUUUAUCUUGCAGCACAAGUUCUUGGCAUAGAAUACCAAUGAGCUGAGGCACAUUACUAAUUUGCCAGAUCGACAUAGCCUCUAGGGAGAAAAGCAAAAAAGCAUUCCUAUUAACUUCAGCAUUGGGAUAAUUUGAAUCUCUCUUCUAAGACAUCUUGUCUCUUUUUUGGUUAAUUACUGUGGCAAACCUUAUUUUCUCUUUAAAUUAAGCCAUGAGAUGCCUUUAAUUCAACUAGGCUGCUACUAAAAUGUGGUUUUCAUGGGAAGGAAUUAGGAGUCUUUCUUUUGAGAAAAAACAUAUAUCAUGUUGACUGUUGUCUCUUUGCCACUGAUGUUGGAGAGGAUGACCUUAUGUCACUAGCCCACACCUGUGGAAUAAGACGCUCAUUUACAAACCUGCUCCGAAGAAGAAGGUAAGGAUGCUGUUCCUGCACAGUCAUGAACGGCUGCUGUUCCUCUUGAAA